GCACUUUAAGUUGGGAGGAAGGGCAGUAAGUUAAUACCUUGCUGUUUUGACGUUACCGACAGAAUAAGCACCGGCUAACUUCGUGCCAGCAGCCGCGGUAAUACGGAGGAUCCAAGCGUUAUCCGGAUUUAUUGGGUUUAAAGGGUGCGUAGGCGGCCUAUUAAGUCAGGGGUGAAAGACGGUGGCUCAACCAUCGCAGUGCCUUUGAUACUGAUGGGCUUGAAUGAACCUGAGGUAGGCGGAAUGUGACAAGUAGCGGUGAAAUGCAUAGAUAUGUCACAGAACACCAAUUGCGAAGGCAGCUUACUAAAGUUUAAUUGACGCUGAGGCACGAAAGCGUGGGGAUCGAACAGGAUUAGAUACCCUGGUAGUCCACGCCCUAAACGAUGAUGACUCGGUGUCGGCGAUAGAAUGCCGGCGCCCAAGCGAAAGCGUUAAGUCAUCCACCUGGGGAGUACGCCCGCAAGGGUGAAACUCAAAGGAAUUGACGGGGGCCCGCACAAGCGGAGGAGCAUGUGGUUUAAUUCGAUGAUACGCGAGGAACCUUACCUGGGCUAGAAUGUUAGCGCGCCGUCCGGAGACGGGCGGGCCCGCAAGGGCGCGAAACAAGGUGCUGCAUG
Molecule: ribosomal RNA, 620 nt
Filed under: uncultured soil bacterium
Lineage: Bacteria
Description: bacterial SSU rRNA
Rfam family: Bacterial small subunit ribosomal RNA
Source: RNAcentral